CAAAUCAAAGCUUUUAGGAGAAGCAUUUUAUUUACAUUAAAAGGAUUAUUAAUUUUAAUAUGAUUUGA
This 68-nucleotide transfer RNA is filed under the name Scolytinae sp. BMNH 1040331. RNAcentral's name for it is "tRNA-Val". Lineage: Eukaryota; Metazoa; Arthropoda; Insecta; Coleoptera; Curculionidae. The record is from RNAcentral.